Molecule: transfer RNA, 83 nt
Filed under: Pseudomonadota bacterium
Lineage: Bacteria; Pseudomonadati; Pseudomonadota
Also listed under: 2 other names
Description: Proteobacteria bacterium (freshwater metagenome) tRNA-Leu
Rfam family: tRNA
About the family: Transfer RNA (tRNA) molecules are approximately 80 nucleotides in length.
Source: RNAcentral
GCCGAAGUGGCGGAAUGGCAGACGCGCUAGACUCAAAAUCUGGUAUCCGUGAGGGUGUGUGGGUUCGAGUCCCACCUUCGGCA